GGUUAAAAAGCUCGUAGUUGGAUCUCGGCAAGUAGAGGGCGGUAUGCUUCGUAGCAUUACUGCCCUAUUACUUGUAGUUUUGCCAGAGGUUCCUGGGUGCUCUUAAUCGAGUGUCUAGGGAUGCUGGCAGGUUUACUUUGAAAAAAUUAGAGUGCUCAAAGCAGGCUAUUACGCUUGAAUAUUCGUGCAUGGAAUAAUAGAAUAGGAAGUUGUUUCUAUUUUGUUGGUUUUCGGAAAUCGACUUAAUGAUUAAUAGGGACAGUCGGGGGCAUUUGUAUUCAAACGACAGAGGUGAAAUUCUUGGACCGUUUGAAGACAAACUACUGCGAAAGCAUUUGCCAAGAAUGUUUUCAUUAAUCAAGAACGAAAGUUAGAGGUUCGAAGGCGAUUAGAUACUGCCCUAGUUCUAACCAUAAACGAUGCCAGCUAGCGAUCUGAGGACGUUUUUUUUGUAGACUCCUCA
Molecule: ribosomal RNA, 463 nt
Filed under: uncultured marine eukaryote
Lineage: Eukaryota
Description: SSU rRNA
Rfam family: Eukaryotic small subunit ribosomal RNA
Source: RNAcentral